RNAcentral lists this long non-coding RNA (248 nucleotides) under Setaria italica (foxtail millet). RNAcentral describes it as "long non-coding RNA (SITA_LNC001306)". The record is from RNAcentral. Lineage: Eukaryota; Viridiplantae; Streptophyta; Magnoliopsida; Poales; Poaceae.
GACAGUGUAGAGAAGUAGAUGGAAAAAUACCACACACCCUAAUGAGGGGGUGACCUCUAUAUAUAUGGCCAAUAUAGCUUAAAGUAGAAGGAAUAUAUCAAGUGUACAAGGAAAGGAUAAAUACAUCCUAAAAUACACAUAUACUUCCUAAUACCCGCCCAUAGUUGAAGCGGGAGGAUCACGAACGCACAGACUGGACCUAAACUCAGUAAACAAAGGAGUUGGCAGGUCUUUCGUCAUAAUGUCUG